This 253-nucleotide ribosomal RNA is filed under the name uncultured bacterium. RNAcentral's name for it is "partial 16S ribosomal RNA". It matches the Rfam family "Bacterial small subunit ribosomal RNA", at positions 524 to 776 of the family's 1533-position model. The record is from RNAcentral.
UACGAAAGGUGCAAGCGUUAAUCGGAAUUACUGGGCGUAAAGCGCGCGUAGGCGGUGUGUUAAGUCGGAUGUGAAAGCCCAGGGCUCAACCUUGGAACUGCAUCCGAUACUGGCACGCUAGAGUGCAGUAGAGGGAGGUGGAAUUUCCGGUGUAGCGGUGAAAUGCGUAGAGAUCUGAAGGAACAUCAGUGGCGAAGGCGACUCACUGGGCCAUUACUGACACUGAGGUGCGAAAGCGUGGGUAGCAAACAGG